Molecule: ribosomal RNA, 56 nt
Filed under: Xylaria tuberoides
Lineage: Eukaryota; Fungi; Ascomycota; Sordariomycetes; Xylariales; Xylariaceae
Description: partial 28S ribosomal RNA
Source: RNAcentral
UUGACCCGGUCAGGUAGGAAUACCCGCUGAACUUAAGCAUAUCAAUAAGCGGAGGA